RNAcentral lists this ribosomal RNA (112 nucleotides) under Amphilophus citrinellus (Midas cichlid). The record is from RNAcentral. Lineage: Eukaryota; Metazoa; Chordata; Actinopteri; Cichliformes; Cichlidae.
GUAAACUGUCAUAAUAGCUUACAGCCUGAUCUCCUCUGAGCUCAGAAGCUAAGCGGGGUCAGCCCUGGAUACUGACUGGGAGACCAACAGGGGAAAACAGGCACCGUUUUGU